CAUCACCUUUCCCAGAAGAGUGGAUUUUGGUGGGCUCUGCUGUCACCCAUCUCUUCAGAGUGUGCUUAAGGCACCCAAACUGCUGGUACCAAGGCGAGCACAGCUCUACCUCACCCGGAAUUUUACUCUCAGCCCCAUUAUUGGUGUUCCGACACGUGUUGGCUGGACAGUUGCUGUAGGACAGAUCAAGCAGUUCUUGUCUGAAAAUCUGGAGUCCAGUGUAACCAAGUGGAAAGUGAAGAUAUUUGGUGACGUAGAAAUAUUUUUAACAGGGAAAUGCAGC
Molecule: long non-coding RNA, 283 nt
Filed under: Calidris pugnax (ruff)
Lineage: Eukaryota; Metazoa; Chordata; Aves; Charadriiformes; Scolopacidae
Description: lncRNA (ENSCPUG00000008870.1)
Source: RNAcentral